CCUACGGGUGGCAGCAGUGAGGAAUAUUGGUCAAUGGGCGCGAGCCUGAACCAGCCAAGUCGCGUGAAGGAUGACUGCCCUAUGGGUUGUAAACCUCUUUUAUAUGGGAAUAAAAUGUUCCACGUGUGGGAUUUUGUAUGUACCCUAUGAAUAAGGAUCGGCUAACUCCGUGCCAGCAGCCGCGGUAAUACGGAGGAUCCGAGCGUUAUCCGGAUUUAUUGGGUUUAAAGGGAGCGUAGGUGGAUUGUUAAGUCAGUUGUGAAAGUUUGCGGCUCAACCGUAAAAUUGCAGUUGAAACUGGCAGUCUUGAGUACAGGAGAGGUGGGCGGAAUUCGUGGUGUAGCGGUGAAAUGCUUAGAUAUCACGAAGAACUCCGAUUGCGAAGGCAGCUCACUGGACUGCAACUGACACUGAGGCUCGAAAGUGUGGGUAUCAAACAGGAUUAGAUACCCUUGUAGUC
This 460-nucleotide ribosomal RNA is filed under the name uncultured bacterium. RNAcentral's name for it is "partial 16S ribosomal RNA". It matches the Rfam family "Bacterial small subunit ribosomal RNA", at positions 338 to 795 of the family's 1533-position model. The record is from RNAcentral.